ACACUCCUGCGGGAGGCAGCAGUGGGGAAUAUUGGACAAUGGGCGCAAGCCUGAUCCAGCCAUGCCGCGUGAGUGAUGAAGGCCCUAGGGUUGUAAAGCUCUUUCACCGGUGAAGAUAAUGACGGUAACCGGAGAAGAAGCCCCGGCUAACUUCGUGCCAGCAGCCGCGGUAAUACGAAGGGGGCUAGCGUUGUUCGGAUUUACUGGGCGUAAAGCGCACGUAGGCGGACUAUUAAGUCAGGGGUGAAAUCCCGGGGCUCAACCCCGGAACUGCCUUUGAUACUGGUAGUCUUGAGUUCGAGAGAGGUGAGUGGAAGUCCGAGGGUAGAGGUGAAAUUCGUAGAUAUUCGGAGGAACACCAGUGGCGAAGGCGGCUCACUGGCUCGAUACUGACGCUGAGGUGCGAAAGCGUGGGGAGCAAACAGGAUUAGAAACCCGAGUAGUCCCAUGA
RNAcentral lists this ribosomal RNA (451 nucleotides) under uncultured organism. Its description in RNAcentral is "partial 16S ribosomal RNA". It matches the Rfam family "Bacterial small subunit ribosomal RNA", at positions 333 to 800 of the family's 1533-position model. The record is from RNAcentral.